AACGAACGCUGGCGGCAGGCCUAACACAUGCAAGUCGAGCGAGGACUUCGGUUCUAGCGGCGGACGGGUGAGUAACGCGUGGGAAUGUGCCCUUCUCUACGGAAUAGCCCUGGGAAACUGGGAGUAAUACCGUAUACGCCCUAUUGGGGAAAGAUUUAUCGGAGAAGGAUCAGCCCGCGUUGGAUUAGGUAGUUGGUGGGGUAAUGGCCUACCAAGCCGACGAUCCAUAGCUGGUUGGAUAGCAUGAUCAACCACACUGGGACUGAGACACGGCCCAGUCUGCUACGGGGGGGCGCGGAGGGGGAUCUUAGGGGAGGAGGGCAAACCUAGUCUCGCCGUGCCGGGGGAGAUGUGAAGGGCUUUGGGUUGUAAAGCCCUUUCAGCUGGGGAGAUAAUGACGGUACCAGCAGAAGAAGCCCCGGCUAACUACGUG
Molecule: ribosomal RNA, 433 nt
Filed under: uncultured bacterium
Lineage: Bacteria
Description: partial 16S ribosomal RNA
Rfam family: Bacterial small subunit ribosomal RNA
Source: RNAcentral